CAGUAGCCGCGGGAAUACGAAGGGUGCAAGCGUUACUCGGAAUUACUGGGCGUAAAGCGUGCGUAGGUGGUUGUUUAAGUCUGCUGUGAAAGCCCUGGGCUCAACCUGGGAAUUGCAGUGGAUACUGGGCAACUAGAGUAAGGUAGAGGAUAGUGGAAUUUCCGGUGUAGCAGUGAAAUGCGUAGAGAUCGGAAGGAACAUCUGUGGCGAAGGCGACUAUCUGGGCCAACACUGACACUGAGGCACGAAAGCGUGGGGAGCAAACAGGAUUAGAUACCCCGGUAGUCCCUGUCUCUUAUAC
This 301-nucleotide ribosomal RNA is filed under the name uncultured bacterium. RNAcentral describes it as "partial 16S ribosomal RNA". It matches the Rfam family "Bacterial small subunit ribosomal RNA", at positions 509 to 807 of the family's 1533-position model. The record is from RNAcentral.